RNAcentral lists this ribosomal RNA (433 nucleotides) under uncultured bacterium. RNAcentral describes it as "partial 16S ribosomal RNA". It matches the Rfam family "Bacterial small subunit ribosomal RNA", at positions 29 to 507 of the family's 1533-position model. The record is from RNAcentral.
AACGAACGCUGGCGGCAUGCCUAACACAUGCAAGUCGAACGAGACCUUCGGGUCUAGUGGCGCAGGGGUGCGUAACGCGUGGGAACCUGCCCUUAGGUUCGGAAUAACUCCCCGAAAGGGGUGCUAAUACCGGAUAAUGUCUUCGGGCCAAAGAUUUAUCGCCUUUGGAUGGGCCCGCGUUGGAUUAGCUAGUUGGUAGGGUAAAAGCCUACCAAGGCGACGAUCCAUAGCUGGUCUGAGAGGAUGAUCAGCCACACUGGGACUGAGACACGGCCCAGACUCCUACGGGAGGCAGCAGUGGGGAAUAUUGGACAAUGGGCGAAAGCCUGAUCCAGCAAUGCCGCGUGAGUGAUGAAGGCCUUAGGGUUGUAAAGCUCUUUUACCAGGGAUGAUAAUGACAGUACCGGGAGAAUAAGCUCCGGCUAACUCCGUG